This 76-nucleotide transfer RNA is filed under the name Pelotomaculum sp. RNAcentral's name for it is "tRNA-Thr". It matches the Rfam family "tRNA". Rfam says of the family: Transfer RNA (tRNA) molecules are approximately 80 nucleotides in length. Lineage: Bacteria; Bacillati; Bacillota; Clostridia; Eubacteriales; Desulfotomaculaceae. The record is from RNAcentral.
GCCGGCGUAGCUCAAUUGGCAGAGCAGCUGACUUGUAAUCAGCAGGUCCCCGGUUCGAAUCCGGGUGCCGGCUCCA